AACGAACGCUGGCGGCGUGCCUAACACAUGCAAGUCGGACGAUAAAGCUCUUCGGAGUGAUUAAAGUGGCGCACGGGUGAGUAAUGAAUAGGAACGUACCAUUUAGUGGGGAACAACCACGGGAAACUGUGGCUAAUACCGCAUAGUAUCGAAAGAUUAAAGGAGGCCUCUGCUUGCAAGCUUUCGCUAAAUGAUCGGCCUAUUUCCCAUUAGCUAGUUGGUAGGGUAAUGGCCUACCAAGGCUACGAUGGGUAGCUGGUUUGAGAGGAUGAUCAGCCACACUGGAACUGAGACACGGUCCAG
RNAcentral lists this ribosomal RNA (303 nucleotides) under uncultured bacterium. RNAcentral describes it as "bacterial SSU rRNA". It matches the Rfam family "Bacterial small subunit ribosomal RNA", at positions 29 to 334 of the family's 1533-position model. The record is from RNAcentral.